AUUGAACGCUGGCGGCAGACCUAACACAUGCAAGUCGAACGAGUGGCGGACGGGUGAGUAAUGUCUGGGAAACUGCCCGAUGGAGGGGGAUAACUACUGGAAACGGUAGCUAAUACCGCAUACCAUCGGAUGUGCCCAGAUGGGAGUAGCUUGUGGGGGAGGUAACGGCUCACCUAGGCGACGAUCCCUAGCUGGUCUGAGAGGAUGACCAGCCACACUGGAACGGGGACCCGGCCCAGACUCCAACGGGAGGCAGCAGUGGGGAAUAUUGGAAAAUGGGGGAAAGCUUGCUGCAGCCAUCCCGCGUGUAGGAGGAAGGCCUUCGGGUUGUAAAGUACUUUCAGCGGGGAGGCGUUACCCGCAGAAGAAGCACCGGCUAACUCCGUGCCAGCAGCCGCGGUAAUUC
This 406-nucleotide ribosomal RNA is filed under the name uncultured bacterium. RNAcentral describes it as "partial 16S ribosomal RNA". It matches the Rfam family "Bacterial small subunit ribosomal RNA", at positions 29 to 526 of the family's 1533-position model. The record is from RNAcentral.